This 1050-nucleotide ribosomal RNA is filed under the name Geodia neptuni. Its description in RNAcentral is "SSU rRNA". It matches the Rfam family "Eukaryotic small subunit ribosomal RNA", at positions 3 to 1049 of the family's 1831-position model. Lineage: Eukaryota; Metazoa; Porifera; Demospongiae; Tetractinellida; Geodiidae. The record is from RNAcentral.
CCUGGUUGAUCCUGCCAGUAGUCAUAUGCUUGUCUCAAAGACUAAGCCAUGCAUGUCUAAGUAUGAACGCUUCGUACUGUGAAACUGCGAAUGGCUCAUUAAAUCAGUUAUAGUUUAUUUGAUGGUCGUUUGCUACAUGGAUAACCGUGGUAAUUCUAGAGCUAAUACAUGCAGAAGGUCCCGACUCCUGGAAGGGACGUAUUUAUUAGAUCCAAAACCAGCGCGGGUUGCCUUCACGGGCGCCCGGUACCUGGGUGAUUCAUGAUAACUUCUCGAAUCGCACGGCCCUCGCGCCGGCGAUGGUCCAUUCAAAUUUCUGCCCUAUCAACUUUCGAUGGUACGGUAGUGGCCUACCAUGGUUGCAACGGGUGACGGAGAAUUAGGGUUCGAUUCCGGAGAGGGAGCCUGAGAAACGGCUACCACAUCCAAGGAAGGCAGCAGGCGCGCAAAUUACCCAAUCCCGACUCGGGGAGGUAGUGACAAUAAAUAACAAUGCCGGGCUCUUGUAGUCUGGCCCUUGGAAUGAGUCCAAUCUAAACCCCUUAACGAGGAACAAUUGGAGGGCAAGUCUGGUGCCAGCAGCCGCGGUAAUUCCAGCUCCAAUAGCGUAUAUUAAAGUUGUUGCAGUUAAAAAGCUCGUAGUUGGAUUUCGGGGCGGCGUGGCCGGUCCGCCGCAAGGCGAGUACUGGUCGGGCGCCCUUCCUCUCGAAGGCUUCGACUGCUCUUGAUUGUGGUGGUCGAGGAGUUCGGGACGUUUACUUUGAAAAAAUUAGAGUGUUCAAGGCAGGCCGUGGCCUGAAUGACUUAGCAUGGAAUAAUGGAAGAGGACCUCGGUCCUAUUUUGUUGGUUUCCAGGGCCGAAGUAAUGAUUGAGAGGGACAGUUGGGGGCAUUCGUAUUUAAUUGUCAGAGGUGAAAUUCUCGGAUUUAUGAAAGACGAACAAGUGCGAAAGCAUUUGCCAAGGAUGUUUUCAUUAAUCAAGAACGAAAGUUGGGGGUUCGAAGACGAUCAGAUACCGUCGUAGUCCCAACCAUAAACUAUGCCGACUAG